RNAcentral lists this long non-coding RNA (343 nucleotides) under Crocodylus porosus (Australian saltwater crocodile). RNAcentral's name for it is "lncRNA (ENSCPRG00005011356.1)". Lineage: Eukaryota; Metazoa; Chordata; Crocodylia; Crocodylidae. The record is from RNAcentral.
AGCAUACCUACAUAACAGCACCUUCAGCAUAACUCUGCUCUUCCAUGCUGGUAAAAAUCCCUGCCUCUCUGCAGCCAGGUUUCUUGGAUUCAGCCAAAAAGAGACUGAACAGACUACUGGUUGCUCACGUUCUGGUCUCUGAGAAUUGGAGGUUGCUACUACUCUUCACAUUGCUCAUCCAGAAUAUCAGAAUGAAAGCAGCUACUGUUGAAGAUGACCCCUCUCCCACGAUUCUAGACUUCAUAGGAUUUACUCCCUGCUCCUCCUUGAAAAUCUAUUCUACUCAAAUAAGGACUGCAGAAGAGGAUGGGUAUAAAAUGAGUUGGGUAAGGAAACAAUGAGA